Molecule: ribosomal RNA, 413 nt
Filed under: uncultured bacterium
Lineage: Bacteria
Description: bacterial SSU rRNA
Rfam family: Bacterial small subunit ribosomal RNA
Source: RNAcentral
AUUAAUUCGAUGCAACGCGAAGAACCUUACCAAGGCUUGACAUGCACCUGAAAAGGCUGGAAACAGUCUCCUCGCAAGACAGGUGCACAGGUGGUGCAUGGUUGUCAUCAGCUCGUGUCGUGAGAUGUUGGGUUAAGUCCCGCAACGAGCGCAACCCUCGUUCUAUGUUGCCAGCGCGUGAUGGCGGGAACUCAUAGGAGACUGCCGGGGUCAACUCGGAGGAAGGUGGGGAUGACGUCAAAUCAUCAUGCCCCUUAUGUCUUGGGCUUCACGCAUGCUACAAUGGCCGGUACAAAGGGCUGCGAUACCGCAAGGUGGAGCGAAUCCCAAAAAGCCGGUCUCAGUUCGGAUUGAGGUCUGCAACUCGACCUCAUGAAGUCGGAGUCGCUAGUAAUCGCAGAUCAGCAACGCUG